AGUGAACGCUGGCGGUAGGCCUAACACAUGCAAGUCGAACGGCAGCACAGUAAGAGCUUGCUCUUACGGGUGGCGAGUGGCGGACGGGUGAGGAAUACAUCGGAAUCUACUUUUUCGUGGGGGAUAACGUAGGGAAACUUACGCUAAUACCGCAUACGACCUACGGGUGAAAGCAGGGGAUCUUCGGACCUUGCGCGAUUGAAUGAGCCGAUGUCGGAUUAGCUAGUUGGCGGGGUAAAGGCCCACCAAGGCGACGAUCCGUAGCUGGUCUGAGAGGAUGAUCAGCCAAACUGGAACUGAGACACGGUCCAGACUCCUACGGGAGGCAGCAGUGGGGAAUAUUGGAAAAUGGGCGCAAGCCUGAUCCAGCCAUACCGCGUGGGUGAAGAAGGCCUUCGGGUUGUAAAGCCCUUUUGUUGGGAAAGAAAAGCAGCAGGUUAAUACCCAGCUGUUCUGACGGUACACAAAGAAUAAGCACCGGCUAACUUCGUG
This 492-nucleotide ribosomal RNA is filed under the name uncultured bacterium. RNAcentral describes it as "partial 16S ribosomal RNA". It matches the Rfam family "Bacterial small subunit ribosomal RNA", at positions 29 to 507 of the family's 1533-position model. The record is from RNAcentral.